RNAcentral lists this ribosomal RNA (253 nucleotides) under uncultured bacterium. Its description in RNAcentral is "partial 16S ribosomal RNA". It matches the Rfam family "Bacterial small subunit ribosomal RNA", at positions 524 to 776 of the family's 1533-position model. The record is from RNAcentral.
UACGUAGGUGGCAAGCGUUGUCCGGAUUUACUGGGCGUAAAGAGCGCGCAGGCGGUCGAUCAAGUCGCGUGUGAAAGCCCCCGGCUCAACUGGGGAGGGUCACGCGAUACUGAUCGACUCGAAGGCAGGAGAGGGUAGUGGAACUCCCGGUGUAGUGGUGAAAUGCGUAGAUAUCGGGAGGAACACCAGUGGCGAAGGCGACUACCUGGCCUGUUCUUGACGCUGAGGCGCGAAAGCUAGGGGAGCAAACGGG